This 2839-nucleotide long non-coding RNA is filed under the name Oncorhynchus kisutch (coho salmon). RNAcentral's name for it is "lncRNA (ENSOKIG00005047765.1)". Lineage: Eukaryota; Metazoa; Chordata; Actinopteri; Salmoniformes; Salmonidae. The record is from RNAcentral.
GCUAGCACUAGUUGCUCAAGCUGCUAAAGUGACUACGAUGUAAACAAACAUCUCCCACUUGGCACAAUGAGAAUGUGUCGUCACAUGAUGCAGCCUUUGAAUCCCUUCCCAAAUGGCAGUUGCCUACUGGAAAAGAUCUACUUACUGAGGUACUGUAGGUGCCUUUGGAGGCAGGUAGGCGGAGAGGCAGCUGCCUUUUGGAUUGGGACACAGCCACUAUCACCAUGGAUGCUGCUGGUGGUUAUAGCAACCUGGCUCAGCUUACCUCCCCAAGGGCAGUGAUGACAUCUUCAUCGCCACGGAGGGAUGUGGACCAGAGAGCUUGGGGCAGAGUGGCGCUGCCCACCAUGAUAUUACAUAGACAUUCAUUCUGUUUAUCUGCUACAUGCAAAUGUAGUUUAGGAAAGUUCAAUCAGGAAGGCUGGUCUGAAUGCUUGUUGAACUUCAUCAAGCAGCAUAACAAUUCGUCAUUGUUUCUGUUUCAUGUGGGAAUGACGUUGCGUGCGGGAGUCGCUACAGGCUCCCCUGCCUCAGCCGGCUCAUCGGGCUUUCAUGCCUUCACCGGAUCAACAGGCAACCCUGCCUUAGACGGUCUGUCAGGUUCCCGCGUCCCAGCAGGCGACAGGUUCCCACGCAUUAGCAGGGGUUUCCGGUCCGCUCAUGAUCCCGGGGAUCGUCCCUUCGGUUGCCGUCCUCACUCCCUGAACUUGCUUCCCGACUCUCAGCUCACAUCGUUACACCUUUAGCCUUUAAGCACGGCACGAUAAUGCAGUUUCCACAUGCUGCUGUUUAACCUAUGGGCUCGCUCUUGCAAUGAUCACUUUCCUCUCUCUCAACCAAUGGGUGUAAACGUUGGGAUAUAUUCAUAUGUCAACAUACCCAUGUUCACUUGCUGUUUUUCAGCAACAGUUUUCAAUAACCAUCCACCUCCCCACCAACACCAGCUAGCUAUACUACCCUUAAGGCCUGUCAUUGGAACUUAUUCUCUAGGCCAAACCGUUCAGACGCUACAGUCGUUUUCGUGAGAUGACAGUUACGGAAGUCCUCCAUUGGCGGAUGCAGUGGACUGAGACGGAGUCUAUGCAAAAAACAGAUGUCUCCAGCUUUAACAGAUGGAUUUUGAUGGGGAGACAAGGCCAUACCCCAAACUAUUUAAUAACGUUCCAUAUUUCAUUCUGUCUCUGUUCAUUCAGUUAAGCAUGUACUGAAAUAAACUGCAUUUUAAUGACCCACCCAACAACUUGUAUUGGAUAACCCAUAAAUCAAGUGAAUAAAUGUUAUUUGUUGUCCUCAAUUCAAAUGAUUUGACUGCAUCUGUUUACACACAGACAGAAACAUAAUAAUACAAGGAAUAUCAGUAAUACAUGGUUGAUGAUGGUAUAUUGCCCUCACAGGCCAAACAAAGACCAAUGUGUGAUGUCUCAUGACACAAGCAAACCUUAGCAUCUCCAUUAUUACAGAUGUGUGUGCGUGCAGGAACCGCUGAAACAGAGACGAUCUGGAGGAAGGGAGAAGAGAAGUCUGAGGUUCCCUUUCGAUAAAAGGAAGGGAUAUGUCGUUAUGAUGACACGUCUUGCAAGUCAAUGGACAAGCAGAUUUGAACUUCAAUAUUUAUUGUGAAACUAGAAUGUCAAAUUAUGGUGUUGCUGAUUGUCAUGAACUUUUGUUCUGUGAAUUCAGAGGGUUUGGUUCCAUCCCCUACCAUAACCAGAACUGUUUUCCACAUCUCACAAAAUAUGCUGCAGUCUGCCAAUGGCAACCUGAUAGAAUUCCACUCAGUGCCUUCUGUAACUAGAUGCAAUCUUUUAUCUCACCAGUUCUAGGGUUCUUAUCUGGGGGUUCUUAUCCCAAGACUGAGUGGAGCUCCUUGUGGCGUUAGUGGAAGAACAAAGUUGAGGCCAGUCAAGGACAUCACCACAGCCGUUCACAGGAAUGAUAAUGAUCCCAAAGGAGACCGUAACGUACUGUAAACACUGCCAAGCCUUGUGGUAACGUCCCUUCAACCAACACCACAAGAAAAGGUUGCGUAACACGCACAACCCCAAAGGACCUCUGGACACACUGGACAGUGGACACUGACCUGUCCAUGCAGGCUUGCCCGGAUACACACAGGUGCGAAAGCACACACACGCAUACAAGCUCAUACUGUAAAUGGGCACACAUACACACUCAUGCCUGGUUGCCCUUGAAGUGAAGACCUGUGGCUCACUCAUAUAACCUCUUAGAUAUUAAGUCCCCUAUUCCGACUGAUAUUUGUGACUGACCGGCUCAAAUCGGUCUUAUGUAGCAAAAUUUGAAAUUGGGUUAUUUACAUUGGUAAAAAGUAGAGACUCAGAGAUACAAAAUGUUAUAUCAUACACUGCAUUUUUGAGGAGCAAUGGGAAAGUAAUCCUGCCAAGAAAGUUGAUAAACUUGUAAACUCACUUUUGAGAAAAGGGCCUUUGAAUGUUUUGGUACCUACUGGAGAGCUCUCCUUUGUCUACAUCCAUUCAGCAUUGUUCACACCCUCUUAAGCCAGUCCCACCCAAGUAUUUAAGGAUUCACAUGUGCUAAACAGGGAGUAGUUGUCACGUUCUGACCUUAGUUCUUUUGUUAUGUCUUUGUUUCAGUAUGGUCAGGGCGUGAGUUGGGUGGGAUGUCUAUGUUGUGUUUUGUGUUUGGCCUGGUAUGGUUCUCAAUCAGAGGCAGGUGUCGUUAGUGGUCUCUGAUUGAGAAUCAUACUUAGGUAGCCUUUUCCCACCUGUGUGGGGUGGGUGAUUGUUUUCUGUCUUGUUGUGUCACCAUUCAGGACUGUUUCGGUUUUCGUUUUCAUUCUCUUUGUUAUUUUUGUAUUGAGUCG